Molecule: transfer RNA, 72 nt
Filed under: Ophiophagus hannah (king cobra)
Lineage: Eukaryota; Metazoa; Chordata; Lepidosauria; Squamata; Elapidae
Rfam family: tRNA
About the family: Transfer RNA (tRNA) molecules are approximately 80 nucleotides in length.
Source: Rfam by way of RNAcentral
GUACAAGAGUUCAGUUGGUAGAGCAUCAGACUUUUAAUCUGAUGGUCCAGGGUUCAAGUCCCUGUUUGGGCA